UACGUAGGGUCCAAGCGUUGUCCGGAAUCAUUGGGCGUAAAGAGCGUGUAGGCGGCUUGUUAAGUCUUGCGUGAAAUCUCGGGGCUCAACCCCGAGCGGUCGUGAGAAACUGGCAGGCUAGAGUGCGGGAGAGGAGAGUGGAAUUCCUGGUGUAGCGGUGAAAUGCGCAGAUAUCAGGAAGAACACCCGUGGCGAAGGCGGCUCUCUGGAACGCAACUGACGCUGAGACGCGAAAGCGUGGGGAGCAAACAGG
Molecule: ribosomal RNA, 253 nt
Filed under: uncultured bacterium
Lineage: Bacteria
Description: partial 16S ribosomal RNA
Rfam family: Bacterial small subunit ribosomal RNA
Source: RNAcentral